CCAAUAGCGUAUAUUAAAGUUGUUGCAGUUAAAAAGCUCGUAGUUGAAUUUCGGGAUCAAAUUGUCGGUCGUGCCUCGGUACGUACUGGCGUUAUUGGUUCCUCCCUUCUGAAGAACCACGAUGUCAUUAAUUUGGUGUCGCGGGGAAUCAGGACUGUUACUUUGAAAAAAUUAGAGUGUUUAAAGCAGGCUCGCGCUUGAAUACAUUAGCAUGGAAUAAUGAAAUAGGACAUUUGAUUCUAUUUUGUUGGUUUCUAGGAUCGACGUAAUGAUUAAUAGGGAUAGUUGGGGGCAUUAGUAUUCAAUUGUCAGAGGUGAAAUUCUUGGAUUUAUUGAAGACUAACUACUGCGAAAGCAUUUGCCAAGGAUGUUUUCAUUAAUCAAGAACGAAAGUUAGGGGAUCGAAGACGAUCAGAUACCGUCGUAGUCUUAACCAUAAACUAUGCCGACUAGGGAUCGGAUGAUGUUAAUUUUUUAAUGACUCAUUCGGCGCCUUACG
RNAcentral lists this ribosomal RNA (499 nucleotides) under uncultured Glomeromycotina. RNAcentral describes it as "partial small subunit ribosomal RNA". It matches the Rfam family "Eukaryotic small subunit ribosomal RNA", at positions 591 to 1092 of the family's 1831-position model. Lineage: Eukaryota; Fungi; Glomeromycota. The record is from RNAcentral.